CAGCGAGAGUAAAGAGAAGAGGCAGCCAGACCUAGCCCGCGCCCCCGCAGCCGCCUCCUCUCCUGCCGCCGCCGCCUCGGCCUCGUCCGCCUCCUCUCCUGCCGCCGCCGUCGCCUCGGCCUCGGCCGGCCCGUGCUCUGCCGACGCCCGUCGGCCUCGAUCCGGCCUCGGCAGGAGGGGAGCAGCAGCCUCGCCCCGUGCUCCGUCGGUGCCCGGCGGCCUCGACCCGUCGUCGGCAGGAGAGUGCUUGGGGGAGGAGAGGAAGGCGGCGCUCUAGGCAGGGGUGCUGGGCAGAGAGAUAUGGCGGCAGCAGCAGGAGCAGCUCGUCUCUCCUCUUCGUCUCAUCUCAUGGAUGAGGGCGUCGGCUCCAGAAGCUCUAGGAGUGGAAGACGUCUUCCUCCAGAAUUUGGUCGAGGAUUUUGUUGCAACGUCACUAUGCUGACUUUUUGUGUUUUUGGAAUUUGUUAAUGAAAUUCUGGUUAAGCGCUUUGACUUGGCCAGUGAUCUUGUCUCAAAUUACAGUUUUGGAAUUUGUCAAUGAAAUUCUACAAUCAGGUAAACCUUUUGUUUGGUCUAUUCGUCGAUAGAAUAUUCUAGACACUUGACUAGAUGUUGUAUACCAAGCAAUUCAUCAAUUCUCUUGCUGGCCUGUAGUGUUCGCCAUCAUGUAAUUUUAGGAACAAAAUUCAGAGAAAACUUACUGCAUUUUAUGUGUGAGCCAUUGAGGAUUUCUGAUAGUCUUUACAUUAUAAUGUUUUUGGUGCAGACCAUCGAUUUUACUAAGUCUUCGUCUGUUACUUUUUGCAAAUUUCAGCAUGAAUAUGCAUUCGAACUUGUUCUCAGUUAUGCAUAUAUUCAUUUUCUUAGAUGUGCAGUAUGCAAUCAUGUUCUUUUCUUGCAAUGCUUUUGGCCUGUUAAUCUUUCAUUUGAAGGAGAAUCACCAAGCGGAAUUGAGACUAUUAUCAAAAAUCCUCAUUUUGUAGAAGGGUUAAGCAAUUGGUCCGGACAAAAUGUAAUAUCCGCAGGCAUGAGUUAACUGCAUAUGGGAAUGUAAAUCACAUAAAUGGCAGCUACUUUGCAUCAGUAACAGGACAGGUUCACAGUUGGAAUGGCAUACAACAAGAUAUCACAGGCAGUGUAAAGAAAAGUUUCUUACGAGAUUAGUUCUCCUGUUUGCAGAUUUGGCAGUGCUAAUGAUACUGAAGUUCAUGCUACUUUGUGGGUAUAAGAAUAUGGCUGUGAACAAUAUCUAUGCAUUUCAAAGGAGAAGCUCGAGCCGCAGCGGGUCCAUGGCGCCAUCGCCGUCACAGCAGGAGGAGCGUGGGCCGCAGAGACGUCCGGAUCUGUCCAGCCCUCACGCCGCCGUCCGACCACCCUAGAGAGCAAAGCAGGCCAACAUCUUUGCUGCACUGGACCGGCUCUACAUCCGUGGUGGCGGGCACGGCCUCCGCUGCCGGGUGCACGAUGAGGCGCUCGAGGGGUAGGGCCGCUUGCGGCGCAGGUGCCCGUCAUGUGUCCCAGCGGGGCACCCGAGGCAGCUGCAACUGGCCGGCGAGUUUGGCUGAUUUCAACAUGUCAAGAAGAAGACCAUGGCUACCGGAGGACUAUAUGAACAAGGCUUGCCAGGUCCUGCAUCAUCAACUAACAGCCAACUCCAAACGAUUACUCAGUUGCAGAAUAUCCCAACAAAAGGCAGAAUUCCUUGUAGGAUAAAUAAAACUGCAUCUGAUGCUGACAAGUCUAGGAAUUCCAGAGGCCGAGUAUCGUUGCAGGGUAUAUGCGAACAACAAAAUCUAUGCCACAACUCUUUUCAGUACAUCUAUGGUACCACUCAAAGGUGUCCUCAUUUCGGGAUAGUAAGUCCGACGACAAGAGAUUCUACAUAUUUUCUCCCACAAAGGCACUUAAGUUGAAGACACAUUCAAAAGAUGACCGUGUCUCUGGUCGAGGCCUUGGUCUUGGUCAGGAGUGUUUAUUCGCUCAGGUUGCUUAGUGGAAGAAUAACUUUGGUGCAGAGUGACAUUUCUAUUUUGACUGCAAGGAAUCAAAAUCGGAUGCACCAGGAGGCUUUAAACAAGAGUCUUAUACAGGAUUGAGAAUAGAUUAUGCUUUCGGAGUUUUCAUGCUACUGAAAGCAACUGAAGCUACGCUAUGAGGAUCAUCUAAGCUUCUUUGGAUCCAGUAGAUACCAUUUUUGAGCGAGUUUUUCUGAAGAUGUGUCAAUGUUCAGCCUGGAGAAUGUUCAUGUAAAGGCCAGUACACAAGCAUGUCUACUUUACCAUAUGGAUGGUGGAUUUACAGGACAAAUUUAUGCACCAGCUUUGAAUUCCAUGACGUUGCACGGACUAUGUGGAACCCACUGAUUCAUAGUGAUGUAUUUUCUUCGAGAAAGAGAGGACUGUGCAAUCAGAAGUACAAUAUGUGAUCAUCAAGUGUAAGAGAUGGCAAGAAUAUGUGGUAUGUUAGUAUGUAUUUCGGUCUGCGUACUAACGAAGUGUAUUGACUGUUCAUGCUGCUAUAAUAAGCUCGAUGAUUUACUAUGGAAACAGAAAAACACUUAAGAAGCAUCUUAAUUUUUGUGUACUGAGAUUUUAGAGGCUGUUAUUGACAUUGAUUUCCUUUAUGCUAGAGAUGUUGGUAAGAAAUCUACAUCAGAACAUACUCUGGUUUAAUUCUUGGUUAGCACUUAUCUGUUCUUUGCAUUCAAAGAACUCAUUUGUUUCUUAAAAAAAGAUAAGAAAUAUUGCAAUCUUAAUUGGCACAGUUUGGCCCUUUCAUCACUUGGUAUAUAGUAUUUCUUAGAUACACCAACAAUGAAUUUUGGUUAGCACAAGAAAUUGAUACAGUACAAUAGAUUAACUAUUGCGGUAGAUUUAUUGAUUUUUGUCGGGCUGUGGUAUCUAUCUGUAGCAUCUGGAAGAUGCCAAAAAUACAAUAAGCCUUUUUUCACAAGGUUUUUUGGUGUUGCUCAAUGCUCAUUACCUCUGGUAUUAUUUUCUCUUUUAGUCCUUUACUACUAUUAUCUCGUGCUUCUAAAUAUUAUGAAAAACGUGCAAGUGAAUCAAAGACUGUAUAUAUGAGAAUGUAUGUGAGUUUGUUGCAUUUUAGAGAAUAGCCACACCUCCCUUGCGUUUGCAUAGAACAAGGAUGACAAACUUUGGUUUAAUUCUUGGUCAGCACGUAACUCAUUUGUUUCAUAAAAGAAGAUAACAAAUAUUGCAAUCUUAAUUGGCGCAAUUUGGCCCUUUUAUCUCUUGGUAUGUAGUGUUUUUUAGAUACACCAACAAUGAAUUUUCUUAGAUACACUAAAUGAUGAACAGGGCAUAUGUCAGGAUGCAUAGCAUAAUGUAUAUGUUAAUUAGAAAAUACUCUUUAGCAUCUGAAACAUCUAAAGGCCAUCACUCAACUAUGUAUUAUAUACAAUAUACCCAGCUCAAUGAUUGGAGCAGUCCCAGCCACUAAUUAGUGCUAAUUAGUACUCAACAUUGAAUCACUCAUCUAAGUAUCAACACGACUUUCCUAUUAACAUAGUAGUGCUAGGUCCUCGGUGUUCGUUCUUACUCUCUGUUUUCCGAGUCUUUGGUCUCUAUUCACAUUUCGUUUUCUAUUUUCAUAUCACUCUGUAUUCAUUCGGUAUCUUGGUUUCUCUUUGUUUAGUCUCCCGUACCUCUUUUUUUCAUUUGUAUGUCUAAGGUAAGAAUGAGAGAUUUGAUAAACAAACAGGAAAGUGCUUACUUUGUUCAGUGGAUGCAUUCCGUCACUGUCCAUCAACAAGUUCAACUCCGGCGAUGGUUCACCGAUGUGGGCCGAUGCACCACGUCAGGAACGUCAAUGGCCUGACAGGCCAUUUUCCAACUUGGCCUGUUGUAAAUGACGAGACCAUGAGGAUGCAGACAGUAAUGUUGCUCCUGAAAAUGAAGAUGUACUUUGCCGUGCCACUAAUCUCAGCAAAAUAGUAGAUCAUGAUGCCCCUCGUGCUACAGUGGAAUUGAAUCACAAAAAUUCUACAUAUUCAUAAAACACCGAAGGAGGUUAGUUUUUACCUGGGCGGCAACGGCGACUGCCGUGGGCUUGCUGGAGCCUCCCUUGCCAUGGAAAGUCACCAGCUUCAGGGAGUGCCAGGCUGCCAGAACAGACGCCACCUUCGGCAGGGAGCGACAACAGCAACCGUGAGGAUUUGGCUUGCCGAUACGAGUGACAGCGGCGCCAUCUGCAGAUUCCGCAGCUCCGAGCUGUAGCGGGAGCUGCCAGGCUGCCCAGAUGCAGAUGGAGCAGCUGCGGUGCUGCGCCUUUGAGCUGCCGGGCCGCCGAGAUGCAGUUGGAGCCGCAAUGCCGUGAAGCUGCAGCGUGAUCCGCUCCCCCGUGAAGCUGCAGCGUGAUCCACCGCGAAGAUGGAGCCCAGCGUGAAUCGCCUUCACCAGGUGUUUUCUCCAGUACAGUGGGGAGAGGAAGAGGAUGAACUGAUCGAUGGAAUCAAGGCUAACAGUCCACCACGUGGUUAUCUCUGGCGUUAUAUGUGCAACCCGUGUGUAUAGGUGUCAACCCGUGUGUCUAGGUGUCCAGACUCCAGAGUGUGUGGUUCUUUCUCACAAUGUCAUGGUUGUAUUUUUAUCUUUGGUGCUAAUUUGUACUUCAUGUAACUGGUAUAAUCUGUAUUGUUUCAUCAAAUUUAUUCCCACUUAUCUUAAUAUAAGAGCAUCUGCAACCACACGUAUCAAAAUCCUUA
Triticum urartu is the source of this 4726-nucleotide non-coding RNA. The record is from RefSeq and is a predicted model, not a curated record. Lineage: Eukaryota; Viridiplantae; Streptophyta; Magnoliopsida; Poales; Poaceae.